Molecule: ribosomal RNA, 104 nt
Filed under: Staphylococcus aureus
Lineage: Bacteria; Bacillati; Bacillota; Bacilli; Caryophanales; Staphylococcaceae
Description: partial 23S ribosomal RNA
Rfam family: Bacterial large subunit ribosomal RNA
Source: RNAcentral
GGUUAUAAGAUCCCUCAAAGAUGAUGAGGUUAAUAGGUUCGAGGUGGAAGCAUGGUGACAUGUGGAGCUGACGAAUACUAAUCGAUCGAAGACUUAAUCAAAUU